RNAcentral lists this non-coding RNA (753 nucleotides) under Pongo abelii (Sumatran orangutan). Lineage: Eukaryota; Metazoa; Chordata; Mammalia; Primates; Hominidae. The record is from RNAcentral.
CCCAGGCCUGCUCGGGCCCACGUCGUCGGAGACUAGCAGGAACCGCCUCCUCCCCUUUGCAUAUCGGGGAAGUGUAGUUCUCAAGAGCAUUGUGGGGCCGGUUGCUGCCCGAAUCUCCCUAGGGAAUGGGACCGAGUUGGGGACCCAGACCCCCUGGCCUUCAUGGCCACAGUCCUGUCGCCGCCCCACCAAAAGCCAAUCUCUAACAGCCCAGACACGUUUCGGACCGGGACCCACGCACAGGCCCCUCCCCGGUCUUGGAAGGCCCUUCCUCUGAGAACAAAGGGAUGUUGGGCCAGAUCAUCUUCCACGCUUCUUCAGCUCCAAGAUAGGAACGCGGUCCCCCAUCACUCACUGGCCGGCUGCUCCUCACCCAUCCGGUCUCACUGGGACGCCACGUUCCUCAGGGAAGAAUCUGGAACGAUGAAGGUGGUGAUGAUUGUGCCUGUAGCCAAGACCGGGAGAACCCUGGACCCCUACAUCUUCCCCACCCCUGGAAUGUCACUAUACAUAUCUGACUUCCUUCUGAUGUUGCCUUUGACCCUAAAGUCAAUAUGAUAAAGUAACAAGAAGCUGGGACAGAGGAACAAACACAGCCCACUCACGUAGUGGUGGCAACAUUCUGUUAGAAAGGAGGGGAGUCAAAUAAAAAAACACCCCUCCCCCAAUUUCCUUGAUCACCUCCCUAAAGACAGAGGAGAACAUGGACACCCUCCAUCCUGGCAGACAUGCCGUGUGGUCAGUUUGUGCGGU